GCAAACUUGGUCAUUUAGAGGAAGUAAAAGUCGUAACAAGGUUUCCGUAGGUGAACCUGCGGAAGGAUCAUUAACAGUGAGCCCUGGUUCUCACCAGGGACUACACCUCUUACCACCAUAAAAAGCUUGCUUUUUGUGGAUGUGUAAUGCGUCCACCCAUUGUGAAACUUAACCUAUGCUUCGGCAGCACUCUUAGCCUUAAAACCGCUAGAGAGGUAAGGCUGUCAGAAGCCCACUAUCAAACUAGUUGAUGAAAUGUCAUGCAGUCUGAUAACUACUAUUUGAGAAAUCAAAUUACGUUAAAACUUUCAGCAACGGAUCUCUUGGUUCUCGCAUCGAUGAAGAACGCAGC
This 352-nucleotide unclassified non-coding RNA is filed under the name uncultured fungus. RNAcentral describes it as "partial contains small subunit ribosomal RNA, internal transcribed spacer 1, and 5.8S ribosomal RNA". The stretch from base 1 to 73 matches the Rfam family "Eukaryotic small subunit ribosomal RNA", at positions 1759 to 1831 of the family's 1831-position model. The record is from RNAcentral. Lineage: Eukaryota; Fungi.